This is a long non-coding RNA of Cercocebus atys (sooty mangabey), 2662 nucleotides long. Lineage: Eukaryota; Metazoa; Chordata; Mammalia; Primates; Cercopithecidae. The record is from Ensembl.
CUCAAAAACAACAGCGGAGGCGCCGCCAGCUCUGCGCACCGCCACUGCCCAGGCCGGCGGGCGGCACUCGGACCCACCGCCCUCGGUCCCUCGCGAGGCCGCGGAGGCCAACACGCCUCGCAAGGGGGGACAGCGCGGGGGCGGCCGUCCAAACACCAGGCGUCCUCGGCUGGUUGUCCCAGGGCGCCCGCACCUCUCCGUCCGCGCCCUCCUGCCGCCGCGCCCCCCAGGUGAGUACCCCGCUGCGCGAGCGCCCGAGCUGGGCCACCUUCGGGGACCUGGACCUCUGGGGACACUCCCCUCUGGCCUCUCCGGGCCCAGGUGCGUAGGGGGCGGAAGGGCCGGCGGCGCAGGUGGAGCAGCGCGGAUAGGAGCCGACCAGACGCUUCCUCUUCCCCUGCAGCCCCCAAACUCCGAGGCGCUGCGGCGGAGGGGCCGGGCUAAGCGCAGGCAGGGUGGCCCCGGCCCAGGAACCUGACGGUCCAAGUGCGGAUUUCUCAUCUGAGUAUCUGGGAAUCGAGAAUGAAUUGGAAGAAAACCGAGGCGCUGCCCUGGCCGGGUUGCUCCCCCGCACCCUUCCGGAGCACCGAGGUCCUGCCCGGGAACGGGACUUGGAGCUGCCGCAGAGUCAGCCUGAGCCCGAGGCAGGGGUCGCGCCCGCGAUGUGGGGUCUCUCCGCCGCCCCGCGAGGCUCCUGGCCGUGCCCUCCCUGCCCUUUGUUGUGUAAUGAGACCUGUGGCGGCUCCACUGAGACCCACACGUGGAACUCCGCGCCUCCGCGUUAAAGGAGGUGAAACGCAGCAGCCCUGAGAAAUCCGAGACCCCGGUGUCCUAGCAGAGGCGCCCCGGAUGGGGAAGGGCGUGCGGCCGGCGCUACCCCAGAGGAAAAGCCCAGCGGAGCGGGGCUGGGCGGGAGCCGGCGGCGGCGGUGAGCUGGGCCUUCUGACUUGGAUCCUCCGUAGUCGGCACCACUUCCCUGCUCAGAUUCGAACCCAGAUGCGGCUCCCAUGGCUCCAGGGUGCCCAGUCUUGCAGCCAGCUCGCCGCCCGAACCCUGGAUGGAAGAAGCGCUCACUGGCCGCUACCUCUGCUGUUUCUGGCACCAGAUGGGCAGCUUCCGGGGACCGGCUUGCCAUCAGCAGGCACGAUGCUGUGGCCAUCCCAGUGGAACCCCUCUGCCCGGCGUUGUGUCCUGGCAUCCCCACCAGGGUGCCCCGCUGUCCUGCGCAGAUGUCAGGAGUAUCUGGAUGCCCCAUGGGCACUUCAACGGCCCAAUUCGGAGUUUUUUGUUUUGUUUUGUUUUAAGAGAUUGAGACUGUGAACCUGAACUCCCUUGAUCUCCUCCCGUUGGGCCCAGGAGGGAGCCUAAUCCAGGCCCAACCGGGCUCACUGAGAAGGUGCAGGAAGGCCCCAACGACUCCUACUCGUGUGCGGCCCUUACUGGGCCGGGACGCUGUAGUGGUCGAGCCGCUGGGUGUCUGCAACCGGGAGCUCCCCCGCCGCUGGGAGCAAUAAACGGAAUCGGUUUCCCACGCUUUCCCUCUUGAUCUCAGAACCUUUAAAAAUCCGCCAACGAAUGUCGUUGCCUGGAUGCGCUGCGUGUGACCUUCAGCCGUGUGUUCACGCGUACCCGCAGCCGUGGAGUGGCGGUCCCUUCCUGCCGCCGCAACCCCGGGGCCGCCGGUCUGCGCACACCGGCAGCAACUUCGUUACCCACAGCGCCCGCGUCCUGCGGCUCGCGCGGAACUGCGCGCGGAAAGGUGGCAGAGGGACCGCUCCAGAACGCUGCUCGCGUAGACGCUGCCUCUGCCUUCAGAUCCCAGUUCGGCCGCGCGCGGGCGGGGCCCUGGCAGCAACGAAAAUGGCGAGUCUCGUAGCCUUCCGGGCCUGAUGGCCGCAUUCCGGGAGUCGCCAGGUGGGAGUCCGCCUUCCGCGUCCCCAAACGCCCAGAGCCCGGGACACGGGCCGGCGGCCGGGUGACCAAGCCGGUUCCCCGCAUCGGCUUGCGCCAGAAUCCAUAUUCGGCUUGCAAGGCCCCCUCCGGCCGUCUCUCCGCAGAGCGCCCUGCCCCACACUGCCGGCCCUCUUAGCUUGAAAACCAAAUUUUGCCUUUGAUCCUGAGAGAUUGAUACCCCACAGGUGAAACCGUGGAGACGGAGCUGCGGUGGGUUUCUUCUCUACUCCUCAGUUUCCCCGUCUGUGAAAUGGGACCCGGCGCGCCUGUGCUCCUCCGGGAGUUUAUUGCAGGGCUGGCUGGAGAGAAUGGCUGGGUGGAAGCCGCCAGGUGGAGGCCCACGGUCGCCCACCCCGUGGGCCUCGUUUGCUGGGCGGGGGUCAAAGGCUUGCGAGGCAGGGAUCGCCCCAAGGAGGCUCUGGAGCCGGCCCUGUCCGUCCCUGUCUCCUCCCCUCGCUCCCCUUCCCCCGGCCUUCCCGGAACUCUCUUCGCCCGCUGGGUGGAGGAGGGGCGAGGGCCGGCUCAGCCGUCCCCGGGGUCGCUCUCCUCCCACCCCCACCGCAGAAUCUGGCCCGCCCUGGGCUUUCCUCUCAGGUCCCUUUGCGUCUCCAGAAACCCGGAGGUUUCGCGCAGACUCGAGCCUGAGAUGGCAUCAUCCAGCACCCCAAAUCCUGCGGAGGGCGGAGGGGAUUUGGGGGAGAAGGCAGGG